AUAUUCAGUAUCCAUGCUCAAUACUUGGCUAGCAAGUUAGCUCGGUUGCCACUGUGUAAUUUCUUGUUUUGUAUUUCUUUAUCUGCAGGUGUACACCAUCAACUUGGAGUCUCGUUACCUGAUGGUGUAAGGAGUCCCAGCCAUCGGGGUGAUGACAGAACUAAUCCAGCUCUCUGCGCUGUACAGGUUUGUGGAGGAGGGCUGGAUGAGUACCCUGCAGAGGAAUUCAGAGGUCUACCUCAUCAAGUUCCAGAAACUCACCAGUGCAAGAUCUGGACAGGUUCCAUCCAGUUGAUCAUGAUGAGUGAUACAUAACUAGAGCUGGGAGUUUUCUCAGUGACCAUGUAACCUGAAUGUUGUGUUCAGUAACGUGGGGUUCCAGCUCAGUUGAGAAUUGAAUGCUGUUGCUUUAAGAAUGUGCAUUUGUAACACUGACCAGGAAAAAACUCUAGGCCCUAGUUCAUAGUAACUAACUAUGAGGCCCUUGGUAUUACUAGGCUCUAGUAGUUAUACAGUACUGUCAUAUCUGCAAACAGAGUGUCUGAGUUAUACCAGUUAUACUUUGUCAUUCUGUUUCAGGGCAGCCAAACGGUAUAUGGAUGAGAGAGUUUCUUUGGAGGUUUACUACAUGUGCCCUGCCCCUGAGUAUGAGACAGUGGAGGACACCAGAUUAAAGCUGCAAGACAGGAGACGAUAUGUGAAUAGUACGGCUCAAAAUAAAGCAAAAGAACAGGACCAGGGGGAUGAAGAGAGCAAAAAGCCCAUGUCUUCAGAUACAGUUGCUACCACAGCCAGGAUUUCCUUAGGUGAUGAUCAGAGAUCCAGUGAUACCGGCAAUCAGGAAGAGACUUUGACUCUUGAGCCAAUUGUAAGCUGGGGAUAAUUAGGUGACCAUGAUCGUACAAGAGCCAGGUUGGGAAUUUAGCCAGGACACCAGGGUUAACACCCCUACUCUUACGAUAAGUGCCAUGGGAUUUUUUUUUGUGACCACAGAGAGUCAGGACACCCGUUCAACAUCCCCCUACACAGAGCAAUGUCCCCAAUCAUUGCCCUGGGGCAUUGGGAUAUUUUUUUUAGACCAGAGGGAAGAGUGCCUCCUAAUGGCCCUCCAACACCACUUCCAGCAGCAUCUGGUCUCCCAUCCAGGGACUGACCAGGACCAACCCUGCUUAGCUUCAGAAGCAAGUCAGUAGUGGGAUGCAGGGUGGUAUGCUGCUGGCCUUGUGCCCCAUUUUAUGAUCGGUCUUAUAGUUAUCAGGCAAACCAAUGCCGGACUAUUCCAACAGAGGAUAAAAUGGGGUCAUUGCAUAAUUCCAUAAUAAACCGUAGAAGGCACCCAAUGUAAGUGGCACUCCCUCCUCUUCUAGGGGAAACAGAGGGAUGGUGAAAAGACUGAGUAAGAAUCCACCCCCUGCAGUACCCUCCAGAUUCAUACCAAGGACCACACAUUUGGAGAACAGAAAACGGAAAAUGGUAGAAACGAGUAAAGACUUUUUGGCAUUGUUGACAAAAAUGAAACCCUCAUUAGACCAAACUACCAGAGUAGCCUAAGAUGGAUAUGGCGGAUGAGUCAUUGAACACAACAGCCAACAUGGUCAGAAAUACACUGAAAAAGGUAGCAUCAAUUCCUGAAGUCAAGCCAACAGAGAAGACAAAGCCAGGAAAGCCUCGGAAGAGAAUCUAACAGGGAAAAGGAAAGAGGGAUACCCAGUCAGUUGUCCAACUGAAUGUAUUCAACUGAAAUGUGUCUUCCGCAUUUAACCCAACCCCUCUGAAUCAAAGAGGUGCGGGGGGCUGCCUUAAUCGACAUCCACGUCUUCUUCGCCUGGGGAACAGUGGGUUAACUGCCUUGCUCAGGGGCAGAACGACAGAACAGACUCCAUGUUCUGAAACGGACAGCAUCACACAGAAGAUAAUGCAUACAUUUUAUCAAGUUCCUAGACUUUACACCAAUUAGACGGUACUUCAUCUUUUCUCAACAUGUUUAAUUUUUAUAUUUCCCAUCAGAGUAUAAGAAGUUUUUUUAUAUAUAUUUUUAUUUGUUUAUAUAUAUUUGCAGUUUCAUGAAAAUGAAUAAAGUAGUGUUGUCCUUAA
Salmo salar (Atlantic salmon) is the source of this 2094-nucleotide long non-coding RNA. RefSeq lists it as uncharacterized. The record is from RefSeq and is a predicted model, not a curated record. Lineage: Eukaryota; Metazoa; Chordata; Actinopteri; Salmoniformes; Salmonidae.